UACGUAGGGGGCGAGCGUUGUCCGGAUUUAUUGGGCGUAAAGAGCGUGUAGGCGGCCAGGUAGGUCUGCUGUGAAAACUCGAGGCUCAACCUCGAGACGUCGGCGGAAACCAUCUGGCUAGAGUCCGGAAGAGGAGAGUGGAAUUCCUGGUGUAGCGGUGAAAUGCGCAGAUAUCAGGUGGAACACCGAUGGCGAAGGCAGUGAUCUGGGCCAGUACUGACGCUGAGGAGCGAAAGCGUGGGGAGCAAACAGG
RNAcentral lists this ribosomal RNA (253 nucleotides) under uncultured bacterium. Its description in RNAcentral is "partial 16S ribosomal RNA". It matches the Rfam family "Bacterial small subunit ribosomal RNA", at positions 524 to 776 of the family's 1533-position model. The record is from RNAcentral.